CCCCCCGGCGCUGCGCGCGUGGAGCUGCGCCGCGCCUUGAGCUUUUCAAUUAAUUUUUAAAAUUUUUCUUCCUCUUUUAUUUUUUCAUUUUUCCGCUCCGGGCAGCAUGGGGCUGCCGGCGCUGGAGUUCAGCGAGUGCUGCCUGGACAGCCCCCAGUUCCGGGAGCGCCUCCGCUCCCACGAGGCCGAGCUGGAGAAGACCAACAAGUUCAUCAAGGAGCUCAUCAAGGACGGGAAGUCGCUCAUCGCCGCCCUCAAGAAUCUGUCUUCAGCCCAGCGGAAGUUUGCAGAUUCCCUAAAUGAAUUUAAAUUCCGCUGCAUAGGCGAUGCCGAGACGGAUGAUGAGAUCUGCAUAGCCAAAUCUCUCCAAGAGUUUGCCACUGUUCUCCGGAAUCUGGAAGACGAGCGGAUGCGCAUGGUUGAGAACGCCAGCGAGGUGCUCAUCACGCCGCUGGAGAAGUUCCGCAAGGAGCAGAUCGGUGCCGCUAAGGAUGCCAAAAAGAAAUAUGACAAGGAGACUGAGAAGUAUUGUGGUGUCUUAGAGAAGCAUUUAAACUUGUCUUCUAAGAAGAAAGAAUCCCAGCUCCAGGAGGCAGACAGCCAGGUAGACCUGGUUCGGCAGCAUUUUUAUGAAGUUUCCCUGGAGUAUGUCUUCAAGGUGCAAGAAGUCCAGGAAAGGAAGAUGUUUGAGUUUGUGGAACCUCUGCUGGCCUUUCUGCAGGGGCUUUUCACCUUCUACCACCAUGGCUAUGAACUUGCGAAGGACUUCAGUGAUUUCAAGACAGAGCUGACGAUCAGCAUCCAGAACACAAGAAAUCGUUUUGAAGGAACAAGGUCGGAGGUUGAAUCAUUGAUGAAGAAGAUGAAGGAGAAUCCUCAUGAACACAAGAACAUCAGCCCAUACACCAUGGAGGGUUACCUCUACGUGCAGGAGAAACGUCACUUUGGGACUUCCUGGGUGAAGCAUUAUUGUACAUAUCAGAGGGAAUCAAAGAAGAUCACGAUGGUACCAUUUGACCAGAAAUCUGGAGGAAAAGGGGGAGAAGAUGAAGCCGUUAUCCUCAAAUCUUGCACACGACGGAAAACUGACUCAAUUGAGAAGAGAUUUUGCUUUGAUGUGGAAGCGGUGGACCGGCCUGGCGUGAUCACCAUGCAGGCGCUCUCCGAAGAGGACCGAAGGCUUUGGAUGGAGGCGAUGGACGGCCGGGAACCGGUCUACAACUCGAACAAGGACAACCAGAGCGAAGGCACUGCCCAGUUGGAUAAUAUCGGCUUCAGCAUUAUCAAGAAAUGCAUACAUGCUGUUGAAACAAGAGGGAUCAAUGAGCAGGGGCUCUACCGAAUCGUUGGAGUAAACUCUAGAGUUCAAAAGCUGUUGAGUAUAUUAAUGGAUCCCAAAACAGCCACUGAAACGGAAACGGAGAUCUGUGCCGAAUGGGAGAUAAAGACCAUUACGAGCGCCCUGAAAACCUACCUGAGGAUGCUUCCAGGGCCGCUCAUGAUGUAUCAGUUUCAAAGAAGCUUCAUCAAAGCAGCAAAACUGGAGAAUCAGGAGUCCAGGGUGUCCGAGAUUCACAGCCUCGUUCAUCGGCUCCCAGAGAAGAACAGGCAGAUGCUGCACUUGCUCAUGAACCACUUGGCAAAAGUUGCGAACAACCACAAGCAGAACCUGAUGACCGUGGCUAAUCUGGGUGUGGUGUUCGGGCCGACGCUGCUCCGGCCUCAGGAAGAAACCGUUGCAGCCAUCAUGGACAUCAAGUUUCAGAACAUCGUGAUUGAGAUUUUGAUAGAGAACCACGAGAAGAUAUUUAACACGGUGCCCGAGACCCCACCAUCGAACUCCCAGCUGCUGUUAUCCCGCAAGAAGAGCACGGAUUCGAAGCCGCCCUCCUGCAGCGAGAGGCCCCUGACGCUCUUCCAUACCGCGCAGCCCAACGACAAGCAGGAGAACAGGAACAGUAUCAUCAACUCCAGCCUGGAAUCCGUCACAUCCUCGAACGUAAACAGCUUCCUCAACUCCAGCAGCGCUCCGCAGCCCAACCUGAACUCAAGUGAUCUCGAACUAGAAGUAAUUAAACCCAACAGGCCAAAUUCACUAUGGUAUGAUGCUUCCAUCGCCUGGAUCCCACCCAAUCUGGAAGACUUCUGUCUGCAAGUCACACUGAAAUACAUCCCAUUGCAGCAGCUUUCUUUCCUCAGUGCUUAGUCAUGCUGAAAACGCAGCCAUUUCUGAUCCUUUGCUUAUUCACUCAACCUUUCUCCAGCAUUAACACCAGUCUCUAAGCUUCCUGCCAGAAGGCUAUACCAAACCAUCAAUGCCAUCGCAUCCGUUUGAAACACUGCGUGUAAGCUCUCUGUAUGUGGAAGUGGAAGCGUCUGUUAAGUGGGACAACAGAAACACCAGCUUUCCUUCCCGAAGCCGGAACUCUUCCCAGUCUCCCUUUCACGCAAGUGGAAAAACUUUAAGCGGGUUUAUGAAAUUACCAAAGCAGAGAAGUGUUUCUAUAUAAUGGGAAAUAAGUCAAACAGCAAAGUAAGAGGAGAAAUCAAUGUGCUGGGUGUCUUGAAGAGUAUGAAGAGGGACAUGUCCAUGUUAUUGAAAAGAAGAUCAUAUAAGCUCUGCUUAUGGAGACAUAGGAACUAAUAAACAGAUAUGUGGGAAAGUCCAUGCUGAAGAAAUUGAACUUUUUUGGACCUGUUGGUCAAGUGAUGUUGACCACACUGUAUUUCAGCCGCUGAUUUCCCUAAGCAUGGCAUUAUUUUUCAACUCAAAGAUUAUACAGCAAGAUAACCCCCAGCAGAAUAACACUGGAGAGAGUUUUAGCAUUGUUUUGCUUGCGUUUAAAGUAUCAGAGGAAAAAUGCUGCCGCUCUGAAGCCCUGUGAGCUAACGGGAGAGCCCCUCGCAAAGUCCUCAAGAAUAAGAAGAAGAAAAAAAAAGGUCCAGAUGACAUUUACUUUCUGCAGACAGAACUGAAGGCAGGCAGCAGCGACUAUUUCCAAAAAGCCCAUCACCACCUCUGCUAUUUCCAUGGGAAAAAGAAAGGAAAUUGGAUCCUACAAGAGAACUGUUUUCCAAAAUGCAAUGAGGUCUCAGAAUAGCCUGUUUAUUCAAGAGCAUUUACUUCUCUAAUGAGACAGGGGAAGACUUAGGCCUUGCAAUUGCAUAACUCAGCUGGGUUAUAUUCAAGCAGUAUCUUUGAAAAUAAGUGUAUGCAUUACACUGAAAGGAGAUAAACUGUUAGCAUGCCUCAUAGCCACACUAUUUGUAGGUGCUGGGGGGGAGGCAGCUCAGGCAGGGUCUUGGAAAGUCCAUUUGUUCUUCUUGAGGAAAUUUGCUGGAGAGACUUGCAGAAGGAAUGCAAGAUGGAGCAAAAGUAGCUCAGUCGUCAUAGGACCAAAUUCAUCUCUUCUGUGAGUAACUUGACUGAAAAAGGCUGAUCUUACUGCUGAAAAAAUUGCAUAUUCUCAUUAAUUAAUAUUUCUGCUGUGGUUUUGGUAGGCACUGGGAAUGUCUUCCGUGCCAUCUAGAAUCCAAAGACACCAAAAUCCUCCUCCAAAUUUAUUAUAGCUUCUUAGAUAAAGGCUAGUCCAAGUACUGGCUUCUUGCUCUUAAAGCUUUUUUACUAGACAAGAUCGCAGAAUGAUUCUCUGCAAAUCACACUGUUUCAUAUACUGUAAUUAGUGCAACAGACAAAGCAGCUGAUGUAGUGAUGACAGAGCUGACUUUAUGAUUAGCGAGAAUUGUAUUCUUAUAAAUGAUUUCAUCUCAAUAAGUGUGUUGGGAAUUUCUAAUCUCAGUGCCUUUUACAGUUGGAUGUUUUUUUAAAUUUUGAAGUUAGGAGUGCCAGGAGUCUGUGCAGGAGGCGGUGGCAUCGCUGCAUGGACGCUGCUGAGCUGCAGGGCCACCUCUGGGGUGUCCCCAGUCCCCGAGCCGUGCGGCCGAAGGAGGGGCAGAGGCAUUGGGGCCACUUGCGGGGGACAAGCCCAGGGUUAUUUCAACCACUGACUCAGACCCCACUUCCCGGCAUCUUCUGACUCUGGGCAACACUCCUCUCUGGAAAAAGCAGUGAGCACUUUGUCCUACCCCUGCUCAGGGCCUUCACAGUCCAUUGGCUAUGGCCACUCGGGGGCUUGUGGCUAGCCAGAAGAUGAGCUGAUGGCCAAGGUAUCUCAGCCGUGGUAGGGCUCGCUGUGCCCUGCAGGCUGCUCAGUGAAAGGCACCUAGUUCAAGCUGGGAGCCGGAGGCUGAGAGGGCUGCUCCCCAGCAUGGCCCUAGAAAAAUCUGUGGGGCACAGAGGCUGCAGCAGGUAACGUGCACCUUCCUGGAGAGCUGGUGGAGGUGGCCGGUCGGAGGAGUCCACACGCGUGCCGGGAGGCCGCGGGAAGACGAGGGGCACACCUUCGGGGUCCCUCCCGGAGCUUGUGCUCAUGUUCCCAAGCUGUUCCGCUGUGCAGAACCAGGAAACAUUGCAUAUGGGUAUUGGAGCCAAAGGGCUUGGGCUUCCAAAAUAGCAGCGCCUCUUGCGAUACUAAUGAUGAAAUAUUUGAGGUUCUUUUAUCCAGAGAAGAGCACUCUCCAUAUGCUCAAAUGAGUCUAACGGACUCUCUCCAUUAGAGGGCAGAAGCAUGCUUAUGCAUGGAUAAAAUAAAACAAAAUGACACGCCAUAUAUGCUAUAUAAUUUGCUGUGUUAAGGGAAGGUAGAACAUCAUCGUGGGAAAGACAGACAACUUCACCUGCUGCAAAGAAAAAGAAGCAGCAAGACCUGUGUUUCAAGGGUUAAUUUCUGUCGCUGGCAGAACUCAGUGCUCUUUGUAGCACCUCCCUCUGUUUACAAUUGAAAACAGAUUAAAUUUACGAUAUGGUAAGUACAAA
RNA transcript from Rhea pennata, 4876 nucleotides. It is a transcript of the gene named Rho GTPase activating protein 26, with no coding region annotated. The transcript has 22 exons. Lineage: Eukaryota; Metazoa; Chordata; Aves; Rheiformes; Rheidae. The record is from RefSeq and is a predicted model, not a curated record.